This is a long non-coding RNA of Cyprinodon tularosa, 408 nucleotides long. RefSeq lists it as uncharacterized. The record is from RefSeq and is a predicted model, not a curated record. NCBI's taxonomy places the organism in Eukaryota, Metazoa, Chordata, Actinopteri, Cyprinodontiformes, Cyprinodontidae. The transcript is spliced from 3 exons.
AGAAAAAGCAGAAAUUGCUCCACACGACAGCCGCCUUGGCAGUCAACUGUGGUUUCAUUACAAGCACGAACGAGCCCUCAGAACAACAGUUUGGAGAUGAAACCAUGGUAUAAUGAAAAGGAUGAGCUUUGGCAUAAGGCUGAAUUUCUGAGUGAGUAAAAACAGACGACUGCUUCAUGUCUGACCAUCUGAGACGGCUUCCAUCCAACCACAACAACAGAUUACAUUGUCUGCUCUUUCUCAGUGGAGGAAAAAUGACCUUGGGUUCAUCUGUUGCUAUGUGUGAUGACAGGACAGACACGGCUUUCGGUUCUCCUGCCUACUUUCUUUUUGUCCUUUCCUGGAAAGUUUCAAACAUGAAACUCCAUCUGCCUCACUCUGCUUUCCUCUCUUUCCCAUUUGGAAUAA